AUUGAACGCUGGCGGCAGGCCUACACAUGCAAGUCGAGCGGAUGAAGGGAGCUUGCUCCUGGAUUCAGCGGCGGACGGGUGAGUAAUGCCUAGGAAUCUGCCUGGUAGUGGGAUAACGUCCGGAAACGGGCGCUAAUACCGCAUACGUCCUGAGGGAGAAAGUGGGGGAUCUUCGGACCUCACGCUAUCAGAUGAGCCUAGGUCGGAUUAGCUAGUUGGUGGGGUAAAGGCCUACCAAGGCGACGAUCCGUAACUGGUCUGAGAGGAUGAUCAGUCACACUGGAACUGAGACACGGUCCAGACUCCUACGGGAGGCAGCAGUGGGGAAUAUUGGACAAUGGGCGAAAGCCUGAUCCAGCCAUGCCGCGUGUGUGAAGAAGGUCUUCGGAUUGUAAAGCACUUUAAGUUGGGAGGAAGGGCAGUAAGUUAAUACCUUGCUGUUUUGACGUUACCAACAGAAUAAGCACCGGCUAACUUCGUG
RNAcentral lists this ribosomal RNA (481 nucleotides) under uncultured bacterium. RNAcentral's name for it is "partial 16S ribosomal RNA". It matches the Rfam family "Bacterial small subunit ribosomal RNA", at positions 30 to 507 of the family's 1533-position model. The record is from RNAcentral.